UCUCCGUUGGUGAACCAGCGGAGGGAUCAUUACUGGACUCGCAAGAUCCCACAACCCCUGUGAACCUACCGAAACGUUGCCUCGGCGGGCGCCCGGCCCCGCGCCGGGCGCUGAGCCCGCCGGCGGCCCCCUACGCUUGUCUCUGCAGCGUGGCCUCUCAAAGUCCCAGAAAACAAGUGAAAACUUUCAACAACGGAUCUCUUGGCUCUA
RNAcentral lists this unclassified non-coding RNA (210 nucleotides) under plant metagenome. RNAcentral describes it as "partial contains small subunit ribosomal RNA, internal transcribed spacer 1, and 5.8S ribosomal RNA". The record is from RNAcentral.